UGUUAAAAAUUUCAUCCAUUUUUAUUGUCAGAAACUGGCUUGAUUGAUAGAAUAACCAAACAUUUAUACGUGGCAAUGUGUACCUCAUUCUGACCUAUAGGGAUCAGUUUGUAACAAUCGAAAUGGAUGGAAUUUUUAACA
Molecule: non-coding RNA, 141 nt
Organism: Gossypium hirsutum (cotton)
Lineage: Eukaryota; Viridiplantae; Streptophyta; Magnoliopsida; Malvales; Malvaceae
Source: Rfam